RNAcentral lists this ribosomal RNA (263 nucleotides) under uncultured bacterium. RNAcentral's name for it is "partial 16S ribosomal RNA". It matches the Rfam family "Bacterial small subunit ribosomal RNA", at positions 524 to 777 of the family's 1533-position model. The record is from RNAcentral.
UACGAAGGGUGCAAGCCGUUACUCGGAAUUACUGGGCGUAAAAGGCGUGCGUAGGUGGUUUGUUAAGUCUGAUGGUGAAAGACCCUGGGCGUCAACCUGGGAAAUUGCAUUUGGAUACUGGCAGGCUAGAGUGCGGUAGAGGUAGUGGAAUUCCAGUGUAGAGGUGAAAUUCGUAGAUAUUGGGAAGAACACCGGUGGCGAAGGCGGCGACCUGGUCCUUAUACGUGACGCUGAGGCGCGAAAAGCGUGGGGAGCAAACAGGG